AUGCUUGCUUUGGCAGCACAUAUACUAAAAUUGGAACGAUGCCAAGAUUAGCAUGGCUCCUGUGCAAGGAUGACAUCCAAAUUUGUGAAGCAUUCCAUAUUUUU
Small nuclear RNA from Cricetulus griseus (Chinese hamster), 104 nucleotides. The record is from Ensembl. Lineage: Eukaryota; Metazoa; Chordata; Mammalia; Rodentia; Cricetidae.